RNA transcript from Sapajus apella (tufted capuchin), 1296 nucleotides. It is a transcript of the gene named E3 ubiquitin-protein ligase RNF34 pseudogene, with no coding region annotated. NCBI's taxonomy places the organism in Eukaryota, Metazoa, Chordata, Mammalia, Primates, Cebidae. The record is from RefSeq and is a predicted model, not a curated record. The transcript has a single exon.
UAUGGAUGGAGACCAGACAUUCAGAUCUGGAGUGCCGGCACAAGUAGAAAGUGAAAUCACUUCAGCAAACACAGAUGAUGAGGAGGAGGAGGAGGAUGACGACGACGAGGAAGAAGAAAACGUGGAUGAUCGGACCCCUGGGCUCUCCAAGGAGACAGUGAGAGCUUCGCUGUCUGACUUGUCAAGCCUCGAUGAUGUGGAAGGGAUGAUCGUGCGCCAGCUGAAGGAAAUCCUGGCUCGGAAUUUUGUCAACUUUUCUGGCUGUUGUGAAAAAUGGGAACUGGUAGAGAAAGUAAACCGGUUAUACAAAGAGAAUGAAGAAAACCAAAAGUCCCAUGGCGAGCGGCUGCAGCUGCAAGAUGAGGAAGACGUCAGCCUGUGUGGCAUCUGCAUGGAUGCUGUCAUCGACUGUGUCCUGCGGGAGUGCGGGCACGUGGUUACCUGCACCGAGUGCGGCAAGCGCGUGAGUGAGUGUCCCAUCUGCCGGCAGUAUGUGGUGCUAGCCAUGCAUGUGUUCAAGUCCUAAAACUGAGGCUCCCCUCAACAGGACAGUCACCCCAAACUUGACCCCAAACAUUUCUAUGCACAGAAGGGACUAGAAAGUUACUGUUCAAAGGCUGAAGCUAUUUUUAAAAAUUAUUUUCACUACUAAGUGGGGACAGAAAGAUCCAUACUGAGUUGUGGAAACCUUGGUCCAUGCCAUGAGCCUGUCUGCCUGUGGACACAUGAGCUUCCGGGGCUCAGCUGGGCUUUAUCACCCAUCCCUUGAACACUCAUUGAAGUCAGUCUGCUUGCAUCAUGUGGGCAACAGCUACUGUGUCUUUGGAGGACAGUUACCCCCUUCUCUUAUUUCCCCUUCAUCCUAUUUUUAACUUAAACUGCUCAGAUGUUUGAAACUUCUGUCCUCUUUGGGUGAGAUCAGUGUCCACAAGUGGCCGACAUGGAACAUGCUGAGCAGGGGCUCCUCUGAAUGUUUGCUUUUUUAGUCAUGUAUAUUUUAAAAGCUAACUAACAUUUGAUGAAUGUAAGUUUCCACAUUGUUGCUGUUUCUGCAUUUAAACAUAAUUGGGAACAACUGACAUUCUAUAGUCGACUGCCAGGGCCUUAGACUACACAUGUCCAUUUUUGUUCAGGUAUAGCUUUUUAUAGCAAGGGCUGCAUCUAGCUUCUUUUAUUAGAAGUGUGUGUGCUAAAUUCUUUAUUAAUGUGUAAUCAGUUUACACCAUUUUGUAUAGUGAAGGUGUAUUUUCAGUGCUACCUGCUAGCUGAUUUUAACUUUAGGAAUAAAAUUAGUUU